RNAcentral lists this transfer RNA (73 nucleotides) under Thermorudis sp. RNAcentral describes it as "tRNA-Asn". It matches the Rfam family "tRNA". Rfam says of the family: Transfer RNA (tRNA) molecules are approximately 80 nucleotides in length. Lineage: Bacteria; Pseudomonadati; Thermomicrobiota; Thermomicrobia. RNAcentral also lists the same sequence under 1 other name. The record is from RNAcentral.
UCCCAGGUGGCAACGGUAGAGCAGGCGGCUGUUAACCGCAAGGUUGCAGGUUCGAAUCCUGCUCGGGGAGCCG